UACGGAGGGGGCGAGCGUUGUUCGGAGUUACUGGGCGUAAAGCGCGCGUAGGCGGUGCGGUAAGUCAGGGGUUAAAGGCUGCAGCUCAACUGCAGUAAGGCCUUUGAUACUAUCGUGCUAGAGUGUCAGAGAGGAUGGCGGAAUUCCCGGUGUAGCGGUGAAAUGCGUGGAUAUCGGGAGGAAGGCCGGUGGCGAAGGCGGCCUCCUGGGCCUGCACUGACGCUGAGGCGCGAAAGCGUGGGGAGCAAACAGG
This 253-nucleotide ribosomal RNA is filed under the name uncultured microorganism. RNAcentral describes it as "partial 16S ribosomal RNA". It matches the Rfam family "Bacterial small subunit ribosomal RNA", at positions 524 to 776 of the family's 1533-position model. The record is from RNAcentral.